AGCUUUAGCUGAGGUGAGACAGAGCCAAUUUUUAAUUUUAAAAAGAAAAGUGAAGCAGGACGCUAACAAAAAUCUCGGCACAUAGGCAAUCAAGCAACAUUAAUCUAUUUGGAAACCAUGUUAAACAAUGUUGGAGGCCAAUUGAAACAAUGUUGGAGGAAAUAACAUGUGAUUUACUGAAAUGGGAUUGAUCAAACAGAUAGCUCGAUCUCAUUCAGUUGAGAAAAGCAAGUAUCCUAUCUUCGAUUACACCUGCUAUAAAAUCGCUCAAACAAUGUGCAGGCAGUGCCUGAAACAGUAUGAUGACUUCCAGCCGUACUUCUAGAUGUUCAAACUAGCAAACUUUAAACAAGCCAAUCAUAGCCUCCAUGGGAAGCUUCCUUAUUCACACGGGCAGCCCAC
Molecule: long non-coding RNA, 402 nt
Filed under: Nicotiana benthamiana
Lineage: Eukaryota; Viridiplantae; Streptophyta; Magnoliopsida; Solanales; Solanaceae
Description: long non-coding RNA (NBEN_LNC006863)
Source: RNAcentral